UUCGAACUUUGAUUGUUUAAAAGAUGAUGACGCAUAGCUGUUCAGUUUACUGUUACAUAGGAACCAGUCCACUGUCCACUACUAGUAAAAUAACUGCACAACAACCUCUUACAGAGAAGAACUGAAACUUAAUGAAAUGACUACAAUAAACAGCUUAAAUAACAGCACCAAAUACAUCACACUAAUCAACCUGAGAACUAGUGUUCUAAGAAACCAGACAAUAAUUAAUAUUUUUAUUCCAACACAAAUUCAAGAAUAUUAGAGGAACUAGCUGAUCAUAUUGGUACACAUCCACACUAAUCAACUUAAAGACUCACACUUUCUAUUCUCAGCUACCUAGCUAGCUGAGGACAAAUAAUAAAUCAGACAACACAAUAUUUGACUUAUAAUAAUCAUGCAAACUGUAGAAUUACCCUGAUAGAUAAAUUCAUCUAGUAUCUAACCAGACUCAUCACUGGACUUCCUUUUCAAAUAAGAAUCAUUACGAUCGUCACCAAAAUCUAGCUUCUCAUGCACACUGUCCUGCACAAAUUUAUCUUCCGCUAGAGCUGAUCCGUGGUACAGGAGACCUGCAUCAUAAUUCAUCGUAUCGAAGUCUUGAAACAUUGGCAUUGCCUCACCUUUCGUGACAUGCCAGUACUGUCUGGGACUAGGCCUCGCAUAGGAAGUGCUCGCAAUCUGCACAAGUGAGUGACGAUAAUUAAAUUAUAAUGACAAUAAUACAUGAAAAUACGAAAGUGGUUGCAAAGAGUUUGCCAUACAAAGAGGAGGGCAAGAGAAACAAGCAAAGCUAACUUAGAAUGCAUGCUUGAUUUUGGAAGAGUGUAUGAAAGUCCUUAAUAUUACAAAUUGUGGUCAAUAUGGGUACUUACAUAUAUAGACAAAAUUAUAAGUCCACUAGGAGAAUAAAUCUAUGCCUUCAUUUUCAAGAAAGGCAAAAAGACCCUUAUGCUGAGAUAAUCAAUCUAAAGAAACUAAUGUAAUACAACAGGGUCCUGCACUUUAAUAUUUUACAUAUGCUG
Molecule: long non-coding RNA, 1022 nt
Filed under: Daucus carota (carrot)
Lineage: Eukaryota; Viridiplantae; Streptophyta; Magnoliopsida; Apiales; Apiaceae
Description: long non-coding RNA (DCAR_LNC000786)
Source: RNAcentral